AGUGAACGCUGGCGGUAGGCCUAACACAUGCAAGUCGAACGGCAGCACAGUAAGAGCUUGCUCUUACGGGUGGCGAGUGGCGGACGGGUGAGGAAUACAUCGGAAUCUACUUUUUCGUGGGGGAUAACGUAGGGAAACUUACGCUAAUACCGCAUACGACCUACGGGUGAAAGCAGGGGAUCUUCGGACCUUGCGCGAUUGAAUGAGCCGAUGUCGGAUUAGCUAGUUGGCGGGGUAAGGGCCCACCAAGGCGACGAUCCGUAGCUGGUCUGAGAGGAUGAUCAGCCACACUGGAACUGAGGCACGGUCCAGACUCCUACGGGAGGCAGCAGUGGGGAAUAUUGGACAAUGGGCGCAAGCCUGAUCCAGCCAUACCGCGUGGGUGAAGAAGGCCUUCGGGUUGUAAAGCCCUUUUGUUGGGAAAGAAAAGCAGCAGGUUAAUACCCCGCUGUUCUGACGGUACCCAAAGAAUAAGCACCGGCUAACUUCGUG
This 492-nucleotide ribosomal RNA is filed under the name uncultured bacterium. RNAcentral's name for it is "partial 16S ribosomal RNA". It matches the Rfam family "Bacterial small subunit ribosomal RNA", at positions 29 to 507 of the family's 1533-position model. The record is from RNAcentral.